ACCUCGCCAAGACCUUGGAGGGGCAGAUAGAGCUGCAGAAAGCCAGAUGGCAGACAUGAAACAGGGGGUGCGCGGGCGCGUACCGCGACGACUGCCGGCGCGCGCUGCUCUAGCACGCGCCCGCGCGAGACCUCGCCGAACACAUGUGAAGCGGGCAGUGAUACGGACCGCUGUAGUGAUACGUUGUAGUGAUACGGACCGCUGCAGUGAUACGGACCGCUUUAGUGAUACGUUGUAGUGAUACAGACCGCUGCAGUGAUACGUUGUAGUGAUACGGACUGCUGCAGUGAUACGGACUGCUGCAGUGACAUGGAUUGCUGUAGUGCUACGGACCGCUGUAGUGCACCGCGAGACCUCGCUGAACACAUGUGCAGCGGGCAGUGAUACGGACCGCUGUAGUGAUACGGACCGCUGCAGUGAUACGGACUGCUAUAGUGAUACGUUGUAGUGAUACGGACCGCUGCAGUCAUACAGAUUGAGUUAGUGAUACGGGUCGAUGCAGUGAUACGGACUGUUGUAGUGAUACGGACCGCUGCAGUGAUACGGACCGCUUUAGUGAUACGUUGUAGUGAUACGGACCGCUGCAGUGAAUACGGACCGCUGCAGUGAUAGGACUGCUGCAGUGACAAGGAUUGAUGCAGUGAUAAGGACUGCUGCAGUGAUAAGGACCGCUGCAGUGUCACGGAUUGCUGUAGUGCUACGGACCGCUGCAGUGAUACAGACCGCUAUAGUGAUACGCUGUAGUGAUACGGUCUGCUGCAGUGAUACGGACUGCUUUAGUGAUACGGACCGCUGUAUUAAUUCGGAUCGCUUUAGUGAUACGGACUGCUGCAGUGAUACGGACCGCUAUAGUGAUACGGACUGCUGCAGUGACACGGACUACUUUAGUAAUACGUGUAAACUAAGUGUAAUAUUGGCGAGAGACCUGCAAAACAAGUGUGACGAAUUUUGACGAAUUGUUCUUGUUAGUGCAACUUAGUGCAAGAUUGUAAAGUAUACGACAUCAUAAAUGCCACUGCACACAUUGCAUGCAUGUGUUCUUAAUACAUAUGUGCAAGUCCAAGACUGUGUAGCAAAGUGCACACUAAGUAAAUUGCAGUGAUUUACAAAUCACUAAGCGUAACAUGUGUCCCAAUGUGUUAGAAGAACUGUACAUAAUGUACAAUGAAGUAUGAUCAAUAUAGCUCAUGCUGCAGCUAUUAAUAAGUUAUAUUGUAAUAUGGACAUAAUCUCGUUUGCCAUAAUAUGAAGAUAGUAACUUUAUAUCUGACGUAAGUUUGUGAUCAUCUGUCAAUAUAAAGACAGUAACAAAAUAUGAAGUUAGAUUCCCAUAAAUGAUCCAAUCUAUAUUGGAUCAUUGCUCAGUAUGAAUAACUACAGUAAUUGAGGCAUCUUUUUAAUGAAGGCAGUUAUAAAGAUAGAACUCAUUUCAUUAACUUUAUCUCUGACGUAAAAGUUUUUGAUCAUCUGUCAAUAAAAAGACAGUAACAAAGUAUGAAGUUAGAUACCCAUAAAUGAUCCAAUCUAUAUUGGAUCAUUGCUCAGUAUGAAUUACUAGUAAUUGAGACAUCUUUUUAAUGAAGGCAGUUAUUUGAAUUUAGGAUCUAAGACACAACCUGUAAUUCUGAAAUAACUUACAGACUAAAUUAUCACUUUAACAAUCAAUUCAAUGUAUUAAAAUGUAUAUUAAAUGUUUGUCGUAAUAUCAAUGUAUGUACUUCUGAUGUUAUCUUAGAAUAAGAUAGAUUUUUCAAAUGAUAUUUGAUAUUUUUCCAGUAAUAUAAAAUCUGAGUUAAUAUUGCAUUUAUAGUUAGAAUCUCUAUAUUUACUGAAUAAUUCAAAUUUACAUAAAAUUGAUGCAAAAUGGUAAUGUUUUAAUUUUUUAAAUAACUUUAGAACAUCUAACAUCAUAUUUAGUUCUCAUACUUAAAUACAUAAUAAGAUAUUUAUGUUUGUUAAACAUCCCUCAAUAUGUAUAAAUGUUAUUAAAAGUCAAUGUAAUAUCAACACAGUAUUUUUAAUGUAUGCAGGUGAUUAUGUAUUCAUAUAAAUAACUUAAAUGCACAACUCUUUACUUAAAUUGUCGCAGUAUAUUAUUAUGAUUGAGUAUAAUAAUUUAUUAGGUAAGACAAAUAUUGUAUAAAAGCUAUAUUAGUAUGCUCAUGUAAUCGUGUUAUUUUGGAUGGUAAACUGUACAUAUUUAUGAUAGAAUAUGUGGGCUUAUGUAGUCAAUAUCAACUGCAAUCACAUUUUGGAGAGAUACGAAGACAUUUAUAGAUCCAGGCAACAUUUUAUGUUUGAAGCUUUAGUCGAUGGUGGCAAGCAGCUUAACUUAUGCCAUACUCUAUGGUUUUUUGGUUAGAAGUAAUCUAUGGUCAGAUGACAGUUGGUAUUUACUGUUUGAGCUCACAUAAUAGUUUAAUCCAUUAAAUAUAAUGUUCAAAUUGAUAAAACGAAUGUUAGUGGUAUAAAAUAAUAGUAUUUUUGAGAAAUUUAAUUAAUAGGCCACUAUAUUUAACUGAUUUAAAUCAUGUAGGAAAUUUAAUGUGUAAAAAAUAAUUUAAAAUUGUUAACUCGACUAAAUUUUAAGUUUUAUUAUUAGAAUGUGAAGUCAAUUUGUGAUAAAAAUUCUUUGCUUUAAAACUAUUGGUCCAAAUUAAUAUUUGCUCACUUUUACCUUAAACCAUUGUUUUGACUAAAAAUUAAAAUAAUUUAAUUUAUUUGGAAUCUUUUUGACUAUUAUUAUUUGAUAUGCUUUAAAAAAAUGCUUAUAAUCUUUCAAGUAUUGCAUAAAAGUAACAACUUUAAUUCCCAAGCGCCAUAAUAUUGUUUAUUUAUAUCGUAGCAUAAUUAAUUCGCUUCAAUAUUAAUUAAUAAUUAUGAUGUGCAAUAUUUUAAUGUUUUAGCAUGUAAGUUGAAUGUUGCGAACAUUUAAGAUUAUUUUCGUAGACCAAGAUGAACUACAAAUACUUUUUUCAGCUAUUUUAUGUUAUUGACAUUCCAAAUUGACUGAUAGCAGCAGCUUUUUUGGUAUUUUUUAAUGAAUAUUAAGGCGCUCAUUGACCACAAGCACUCACGUGUAACGUUUAUAUAGGUCGCGUAGCGAGAGUUGAGCUGAAAACAUACUCAUAUAGAAGAACUACACUGAACUGUCCUUUAUUUAACACUGACAGGGGGGCCACCGUCAAUAGCGGAUCGCUGGUUCCGACUUUUGCCACGGUGGAGACCAUGUAGUUGAACAUGGCGCCCUUCUGUCAAUGUCGUCGGUGGGACAUUUCAGUGUAGUUCAUCUUUAAAAUGUAAUACUUGAAUAUAGAACAACACAUUACACAUUCAAGUUCAAAUAUCGAAAACACUAGCAACUUCGCUCCUGCUAAAUGCGUGUAAGCGAGACAGAAAACACUUGUCAGUCAGACUACGCAAGAUGUCAGAUAAAAAUAUUUGUGUUGAUCGCCUUAACUCUCGCUGCGCGAAAUAUAACAGAGUGAAGAUUAAAUUAAAAAAAAAUGGCGCCCAAAGAACUGAAUUGGCAACUUUAUUUUUUAUUUAAUUUCAGAGCAGCCAUUUUAAAACUUAUUUAUUAACAUAUUGCUCUCAUAAAUGUCAAGCCAUAUUGAUUCAUUGAGGCAUUAUUAUUUGCAUUUUUAUUUAAGUUAUUUUCUUCUUAUAUUCAGUCAUUUCUGCUCAAUAUUUUAACCAAAUAUACAUUUAUACAAGAUAUUAUUAUAAGUUUUUCAGCUAUUACACGUUAGAAUGUAAAUAUCCACAUUAGUGUAAGGUUUAUUGACUUUAUUUAAGUGUAUGAAUGCCAUGUAUUCAAUUUAGUUUUAUUUUUAGUUUGAAAAUGAAAAUGAAAAUGAAAAUGAAAAUGAAAAUGUUUACAUGGAUAAACAUGGAUAUAUCUAUAAAAUAAUGAAAGACUUGCUUUGCAUCCAUUUUGACGUCUUCUAAAUAAUAUGUCGGUCUCUUUUUAUUGUAUUAUUCCAACGGGAGUGAGUGAGAUAGCUAAUCGUUAGCCUCUUUCUCUUCAGAUUCAACUUGAAAACAUUUUGCUAAAUACAAGUCGUUUAAUUCAAUUGUUGACUUGUUUAUGAAACUAUUAAUUGCAAUUAUCUUGACUGAACAAUUUUUUUAAACAACUUGUUUCAAAUUACAAUUUAAAUGCAUUUUUGUAUGUUUGUGAUCAAAGAAUAUGGCCAAAAUAGUGACAUAUUAUUAUUAUCUAAUAGAUAACAUAUAACUGCCAUAUUUAUAUGUAUUUGGUAAUAUUUCUCGAAUGAAUGAUUUAGUUAAUCUGUUUGUUAAUAUUUGUGUUAAUACAAAAAUAGUAAAAUUGCCACAUACAAAAUUAGUCAAAUUGUUGUUUGGAAUUUUUUCAAAAACAUUAUUGUUACAAUUUUAUUCAAAAUAAAAAUACUUAUAUGUGUAUAAACAUAGUAAAUAGGUUAAACUCAGAUAAUAUAGUAUGUAUGUCUUUCUAUGCGUGUAAAAAAACAUGGGAAUUGUAAGGCGUGUGUUCUGGACUCCCGUUUCGUUUUGUUUGUUUUAUUGUGUAAGUAUGAUAGAAAAAACGAGUCAAGAAAUAUAUUUCUUGUAUUUAAUAUAUGAAAUAUUUUAAAAUUAAACAGUUGGCAACACUGAAACAGAUGGUUAGUGUCUUUUUUAUUUGAAAUUUUAUGCCCCGAAUGCAGACACAGACUUAAAAAGGAAAAAAAUAAGUUAUGGGACACACGCCUUGCAACGUAACUCGGUUGGUAGCCAAUUUUGCUAUGAAAUGUUGCCAAUAUUAAAAUGGCUUGUGUAGUAUGUUGCAAAAAUAUGUACCUAAAUACUAACAGUUCGCUUUAAGUUUGCCGCUGGCGAUAUGACGUCACUCGAAGGAAAACGUCUAUAACUUUAUCAAACUAUAUUUAAAAUAUUUUUUAUUUAUUAUUAUUGAUAAAAAUUAUGUAUUUGCGUAAAAUAAGACACAUUAAUUGCGUUUAAUCACUAACUAAUUGCGUUUAAUCGCGGUUGGGGGAGGGGACGCGCAUUCCACGGACCGGCAAAAAUAGCGCAAACGGGUAGUAGUUGGAGAAAUGGUGCCGUAAUUUUGCACUGUACUGCACUGGAUGGGAUAAUGUAUGUAACGAGAGAAGGAUAUUCUUGUACGUUGAUUAGUUGACGACUACGUUUUGAUUCCGAGAUAGAUAAUAAAAGGAAUUGUAACCAAAUA
Ostrinia nubilalis (European corn borer) is the source of this 5215-nucleotide long non-coding RNA. RefSeq lists it as uncharacterized. The record is from RefSeq and is a predicted model, not a curated record. NCBI's taxonomy places the organism in Eukaryota, Metazoa, Arthropoda, Insecta, Lepidoptera, Crambidae. The transcript has 2 exons.